GACUUGUUUGUAAUCUCUGCUCCAGGCCAGUGUUUACAUCGCCUGUAGCUUUUGGCUGUGUGGCACUUUUAUGUGGUAGUUACUAGGUAAUCCUUUGUGGCAAGCGGCAACCUGAUUUCUGGUGGCCAGCUGCUACACUAGCCAUGGCGUCUAUAGUUGAUCUAAUGUAUGCAAAAGAAAAAUAUAAAUGGGUGUUAAUAAGUAUCCAAUGAAUUCACCAUUAAAUAUGGUUUGCAUUUUUGUGCAGAAGUGAAUUUAGUGUUCAUUAGAAUAUUAGUAAUACUCAAAAUAAAAUUUAAGUUAGAUUUUUGUGUUGCUGAGAAUCACAACAAAUCGCAACUUAGUAAUUUGCUCAUAGGCAAAUAUUUCCAAAAUAAAUUAUAAAAAUCCUUUUAACUUUUUAUUAGCAAGAAUUAUUUUAAUGUGGGCUGUGGGUAUGUAUUAAUAUGUGGAGGUAGGAAUAUCAAAAAGCCAAAAAUGCCUGAAGCUAUUCAUGUCAACAAGCAUAUCUGUUUAAGGGUGGCUGACUUUAUGCACAUUUAAAAAAUACAUCUUAUAAAAUAUAUAGUUUCCCCAAGUGUCUCGUUUCACCAAAUUUGUUGUUUUGAGAUAGAGAGGUGAGUAAGCAGUCUCAAGCCCUCCCCUAGUAAGAGGUAAUAGAUUUUCUCAGAGUGGGCUGUGUCAGGGAAUACAGUGGCACCUGGUGAGGGAAACUGUUGGGCUGAGUGCAUCUGAUGAUUUGGAAGGUACUGUAACAAAGUACUUAAGGUUAGAUGAGGUAAGAGCAGGUAGAUUGGGAUCUUGAGUGUGGGGAGUCUAAGAUCUAGGGAAUCAUAUUUCAGGAGGCCUUUUCAUCUAAGGCAGAAUGUGGCCGAAGCCAUUGACCAGGGAGCGAGAGGGAGCAAGAAAGGUGUUACAACAAGGUCCUUCCAUGAUGAGUGUGUUUGUCAUUCACAGGGGCAGAGGUCUCAUGGCCUAAGUAGCCCUCCUAGGUCCUGCCUCAGAAGAAGGCUGCAAAGAGAAUUAGGUUUCCAACAGAUGUGUUUUGUGGGACACAUUCAAACCACAGCAGUUCAACUAUCUUGAGUGUGGUGACCUCGAUGUUUGCUCUUCUGUAAAAGCUACCCUGUGUCCCCAGCCUGGGUCAGGUGCUUGUCCUUUGUGUCCCCUCGGAAUUCUCUUGUGUAUUAGCACAGAGGUCGCUAUCACUUCACUGCCUGAGAAUUCACAAAACUUUGAACUUAUUCUCUCCAUCGCCAGUCUAGAUACCACAGAAUGCCUAGCAUAUCAUAUCCAUGCAAGUAUCUCUAAAUGUGUGGCAACUUGGAAACUUGUGGCUUACAGUAAUGAAGUCAUGGGUGAUGGCUCUAAUUUUUUUAUUUAUUCACUUUACAUCAAAAUAUCAGCCCCCCCUCUCCCCUGAUCCCCUUCAUAGCUCCUCUCCUUCUCCUCUGAGAAGGGGGAGCCCCUCCCCAGGUGUCACCCUGCUCUCAUCCCACACAUCAUUUACUGAAGGACUAGACACAUCUGUUCCCACUGAGGCCAGACAAGGAGGCCCAGUUAGGGAAACAGGAUCCACAGGCAGGCAACAGGUUCAGGGACAGCCCUACUCCAGGUGUCGGGGACCUGCAUGAAGACCAAGCUGCACAUCAGCUACAUAUGUGCCUGGGAUCUAGGUCCUGUCCAUGCUCCAUCUUUGAUUUCGGUUUCCGAGAUCCUCCAAGGGUUAACUGACUUUGUUGGUCUUCCUGUGGAGUUCCUGACCUCUUUAAGUCCCUCAAAUUAAAAAAAAAUGAAAUCAGGUGGUCGUGCACACCUUUAAUCCCAGCACUUCAGAGGCAGAGGCAGGUCUGGUUUGAGGCCAGCCUGGUCUACAGAGCAAGUUCCAGGACAGCCACGGCUACACAGAGAAACCUUGUCUUGGAUUCCCCCCCCCCAAAAAAAAUGGCUGUGAUUUUAUAUUUAGGAUUAAGAAGACAUCUGAAGAAGAUGGCUUUGACUUUUUUCCUCAUAUGAAGUUAAGGCUAACAUUCUUCCAUUUUAUAUGUAAAUUUAAAGGGAUGUGUAAUAGAAAUCGGAAACUCACAGGAGCCUUAAGAACCAACAUUCAAUUGUUCAUUUGUUCAAAUGUUUUAGUCC
This 2139-nucleotide long non-coding RNA is filed under the name Mus musculus (house mouse). RNAcentral's name for it is "long non-coding RNA chr15:55481091-55483230". Lineage: Eukaryota; Metazoa; Chordata; Mammalia; Rodentia; Muridae. The record is from RNAcentral.